Molecule: ribosomal RNA, 441 nt
Filed under: uncultured bacterium
Lineage: Bacteria
Description: partial 16S ribosomal RNA
Rfam family: Bacterial small subunit ribosomal RNA
Source: RNAcentral
CCUACGGGAGGCAGCAGUGGGGAAUAUUGCACAAUGGGGGGAACCCUGAUGCAGCGACGCCGCGUGGGUGAAGGAGUAUUUCGGUAUGUAAAGCCCUAUCAGCAGGGAAGAACAAUGACGGUACCUGACUAAGAAGCACCGGCUAAAUACGUGCCAGCAGCCGCGGUAAUACGUAUGGUGCAAGCGUUAUCCGGAUUUACUGGGUGUAAAGGGAGCGCAGGCGGCGCGUUAAGCCUGGUGUGAAAGUCCGCGGCCCAACCGCGGGACUGCAUUGGGAACUGGCGCGCUGGAGUGCCGGAGGGGUAGGCGGAAUGCCUAGUGUAGCGGUGAAAUGCGUAGAUAUUAGGAGGAACACCAGUGGCGAAGGCGGCCUACUGGACGGUGACUGACGCUGAGGCUCGAAAGCGUGGGGAGCAAACAGGAUUAGAUACCCCAGUAGUC